This 254-nucleotide ribosomal RNA is filed under the name uncultured bacterium. RNAcentral's name for it is "partial 16S ribosomal RNA". It matches the Rfam family "Bacterial small subunit ribosomal RNA", at positions 524 to 776 of the family's 1533-position model. The record is from RNAcentral.
UACGAAGGGGGCUAGCGUUGCUCGGAAUCACUGGGCGUAAAGCGCACGUAGGCGGAUUGUUAAGUCAGGGGGUGAAAUCCUGGAGCUCAACUCCAGAACUGCCUUUGAUACUGGCGAUCUCGAGUCCGGGAGAGGUGAGUGGAACUGCGAGUGUAGAGGUGAAAUUCGUAGAUAUUCGCAAGAACACCAGUGGCGAAGGCGGCUCACUGGCCCGGUACUGACGCUGAGGUGCGAAAGCGUGGGGAGCAAACAGG